RNAcentral lists this transfer RNA (74 nucleotides) under Planctomycetaceae bacterium. Its description in RNAcentral is "tRNA-Cys". It matches the Rfam family "tRNA". Rfam says of the family: Transfer RNA (tRNA) molecules are approximately 80 nucleotides in length. Lineage: Bacteria; Pseudomonadati; Planctomycetota; Planctomycetia; Planctomycetales; Planctomycetaceae. The record is from RNAcentral.
GGCGCCGUAGCCAAGUGGACUAAGGCAGCGGAUUGCAAAUCCGCCAUCCCGGGUUCGAAUCCCGGCGGCGCCUC